CGGGAGGGAACCCGAUUUCCGGUCACACACUUUCCCCCUCCCUCCCCCGCUCCCCCUCACACGGGCCCACCCCGCUCCCUCCAGCCCCCAAGCCCGCGCCACGGGUCCCAAUUCACCCCACCCCCUUCCCCCGGGCACCGCCUUAGCCCCCUGUUGCAGGCAGUUCCGUGACUCCCGUGCUGAGGAGAAUGAGAGACUUCUGAUUUGGGAUGUGUCUGACAGAAAUUCAUUUCUGUACCCAGGCUGCUCUGUCUUGUUAAUUCAAGCUGCAGUGCGCUGAUCACUAGGGAGCAGAACGCUUUCCCAUGCUGCAAUAUAUCCUUCAAAGUUGUUUGUGAAUUUGUGUCAGUUUGCCCACUCUGCUCAGGAAUCAGCACAGAGCUAUCAUGAGCCCCAGGUAAAUGCUCCCACUGCAGGAGUUGACAGAGCUAUUGAAGCCAGAUGUGCACUGAGUGAUGGUAAAACUGCCAUUGAGGACAAAGAUUGCCACAGGCAAUGGGGAAAAACAUUAGAAAGGGCUGCUCGUCGUCAGAAGAUCUCAAAGCACUGUACAAAGAUGAGUCGCCAGACUAGCCCCUGAAGAAGGCAGUUCACCAACACCUUGAAGUCCUCCUUUGUGAAGUUAGUCAUUGACUGGCCCCAAAACCAUCACUAGGAGCAAGUGAAGUCACCUUGACAGGAGCAGAUACCCAUGUAAAAGCAGAUACGCAGUGAAAAACACCGUUCUGCUAAUCUUACAGUAUGGUGAGGAAGACAGAGAAAAGACAAGAAAGUGGCCAGAUUCCACCUCAUCAUCUUCAACUUGAUUGCAGUUAAUCUGAUACCUCUGCAAAGCCAAAUGAUUAUUGAGAGCAAGAUUGUCUAAGCUAAGACAGCAAAUACUAAAGCCAUUGAGGCCAUAUUUUAACCUCUUAACUGCUAAUUUCACUGCAGGACAAUGUACACUAUACACUUUUGUAUCUAGCAGUGGAACUGGGUGGGUGCAGUGUAUAUCUGUGACAAGGUGAUUGCCCAUAGGGUUUUUGAAACACCUUGAAUAUAAAUGUUUUAUCCGUAGCCUUUGACUAUUAAUGGUAAAUCUUCUCCCCCAAAUAUCACUGAAAAAGUUCAGCAGGCAAAGUUAAAAUCAAAUAGGGCCAAUCCAAUAUCCAUUAAAGUAAUGAAAAGAGCCCUCCUGACUUUAAUGGGAAUUAAAUAAGGCUAAUAUUGGCAAAAUAACUGAUAUUGAAAUUCUUCGAGUGAUUGCAGAUGUCCUUUACAUUAGGAGUAUGUGUGUGUGUGUCUUGUGCACCAGUGCCAGAGAGUUUUCCCGAGUAGUACUCAUAGUGGUGACCACACCUGUGAUCUGGUAUCCCUCAUGCUUUGAGCCAAGGGCAUAAGGGCAGAGCCGCCCCACCAAACCUUCGUUCCUUCUUACCAUUGGUGGUCAGUGUGUGCUAUUAGCUCAUUCGUUCUGCAAACAAGACAUUAUAGUUAAUUCUUUUUGUUAGGUAGUGGUACUCAUUUUGAGUCCUUGGACCUUCUUUCUUCCCCCACCCUCUCAUUUAACAUAUUCUCCACUGUUAGUAGUUAGUGGACUGUGGGCUCUGCCUGGUACCAGGAAAGCCUGGGCCAGGUUCCCCUGGCUUCAAGCCCUGCUCUGGGUGUGUCAAACCAACACCCAUGAGCAACCCUCACUCUUGCUGUCUGAAGUGCUUGGAUAAGUGUUGUGUCAGGAGUAGGUGUGUGAUUUGCUGAUGCUUCAAGAUAAGAAGUAGGAAUCAGAACACUUUAGGUACCUCCUUGUAGAAGCCACUCUUUGCCUGGCAUCAGUACCACCUCAGUCAGCUAAAGGGAAUUCCUCUCCAUUCUUAGCUAUGGAUAGAGACAGGAGGAGAUCCCCUUCACUGGAGCAGUCCUCAAAGAGGCACAAGCUCUUGGGGCACUCUUGGCCUCUGAAACCAAAGAAGAGGAUGACUUCCACAUUGUCAGAAUUCUCUUUGUGGGACUCCUCAACCAUAGAGGCUAGUCACUCUUGUAACAAAGGUAGAGUGCACCCUUCGGCCCACCGCUCCCUGGUACCACAUCGUGGGGCUCAACCAGGCCAGAGUUGUUGAUUCUGGUUCCUGUGCUGGGACCGUUGAGGCUGGUUGCUUUCUCAGCACAGCCCAUGCUCAUAGAGGGGCAAAGGCCCUUUUGGUACUAACCACCCUGGAAACCUGUGCAGCUGCAGAGAAUCUGCUGAGCUUCUGAGGCCGGUCACACAUAGUGCACACAUUGGCUUCCAUAUUGGGAUUUGCUAUGGUGUCAGUGACUUCAGGUCUGGUCCGCUUACAGCAAUCUCAAUGCCAGCUCCGAGACCAAUGGUAACUGUUCUGCCUCAGCACAUGUACUGACAGCCAGGAAGCCCCCAAAGUUGUCGCCGAUACAGACCUGUCAUAGAUAAUGGUUUCACUCUCCAGCAACACUGCCCAGUUCCACUUCACCCUGGCCUUUGGAUCAUCUUAAUUACUUGCUCUUUCUUAUGUUUAAUCAAUAAACUUUUAAUUUAAAUAAAUGCUUUUAAGUAUUCACCAAAUAACCACAUACAAGCAAAAAAAAAAUUUCAAACCUAUUUAAUAUUAAAUAAUUAAAAAAUCAUAAACACCCCUAACUCUCUACGUCUUUAAAAUCAAUAUCCAUACAACAUGACCUAUACUUCUACUGAAGAUUUGAAAUGUCCAACCAAAAUUAGAGUUGGCCUCUUUCAUCAUCCAAUCAGGGAACAAGACAGUUCUUUUCAGUUCCUGCAACUUGGACUGGAAUUUUCCAGUCUCUUUAUGCAGCACUUUUUGUCACACCAGCCUGUAUAAGACAAAUUAGGCUAUAAAUGUUGGUAGAGCCAUCUUAGGACAUACCUUGAACACUGGCUGGUUUGCUCCUCUGGAAGUCACUUUCCAUGGUCCUUUUUGUGAUGCAUCCCUUGGCUAACUUUGCAAUUAUGCUUGUUCAAGUUUCAGUUUCUCCAUCAGUCCUCUGCUAGUUGCUGAAAUGUCCAGUUUAAAGUUCAUAAAAUUUAUACAAAAUCUGUCUAUAUUCUUUGAUGGUCUUUAAACUUGUUUAAUAGUCCAUUAUACAAGGCAAAGACACUUCAAGAACUCUUGUUCUCAAGCAGAUCAGAAAGCUGUAUAAAUCUUCCAUUUCUGUUCUCUUUAAUAACAUUGGUGGGUCCUUGGUAUGAAUGGCUGAGAUGAAUUUGUGCAUUAUUAACCAAACAGUUACAUUUCUGAUUCUUCCACUCUGAGACCAGGUGUCCUUAUAAAAACAAUAUUUGGUUUCAGUUCUUUUUAUUUACUGCUUCUUUCAUCACAGGUACAUUUCAUUAACUUAAUAGCAUAAGCAUGCUUGCUUGCAAAUAUUAGCCUUACUUCUUCACUUUAUUACUUAAAGAAAUCAAUAUGAACACAACCCCUUUCUUUCCCAAACAGGAUUGCCUAUGAGGUAAACCAUGUCAUUAAAGUUUACAAUAUUUUGCCCAAAA
Molecule: long non-coding RNA, 3499 nt
Organism: Mauremys reevesii (Reeves's turtle)
Lineage: Eukaryota; Metazoa; Chordata; Testudines; Geoemydidae
Exons: 7
Source: RefSeq, a predicted model, not a curated record